Long non-coding RNA from Mesocricetus auratus (golden hamster), 1453 nucleotides. RefSeq lists it as uncharacterized. NCBI's taxonomy places the organism in Eukaryota, Metazoa, Chordata, Mammalia, Rodentia, Cricetidae. The record is from RefSeq and is a predicted model, not a curated record. The transcript is spliced from 2 exons.
ACAUCUCACGACCACGUCUCUUUAGCUGCAGCCAGACUGGUGAGAUGUGUGUGAACUUGCUCCCAAAGACCUUGGCAACAUCAUAGCCGUGGCUGUUCCACUGGCAGAAGAGAGAGAGCGGAAACAAAGAACAGCAUUUCUCCUACAGUCGCAUAGUAGCAGCACCUGCGGAGAAAACACCAGCCAGGAGGACAGCCCUGUUCUACACCACAGAACCCUGACUUACUGGAGUGACAUAGCCUAGGAUGUCUCCAGCAAAGUUUCUCUCCCGAGCCCUUGCUGAACAGUAGCUACGAUGUUCAAGAACCACAUCCUCAGCUUUGACGUCCGUCACCACCAGACCCCGAUCUUGGACAGGUUUAUCUGAAAAUUGAGUCUGAAACAAAAGGGAGAGAAGAGAGCUAUCUGACAUCUGUUCUCAGCAUGGAAUGUGGCAUCAGAAGCAGCAGUGGCAGCAGUAGGUCUGUUCUGUUCAGACACAGGCCGUGUCUCUGGAUUAACAUGGCAUUGCUCAUCUGACGAUUUUGUGGGUAAAGGAUUAGGGCCACAGUGAUGACUUAUUUCAGAAGGGCUCUGGCACUCAGUGAGCACAGCAGCCAUUUUCUGGGGGCUAUUAAACCCUUAAUUUGAGCUAGAGAUCUGGUAGGAGGCUAUAGUGACUCCUCAGACCACUGGGCAUCUAGGCACCCUAUGUCCAAACACUGAAGAUGUGUCAAGCAUAUGCCAUCCCAUGGGUCAAGCCCUAUCUGAGUCUCCCAAUCUGGAUGCUAUUACACCUGCCUCUACCCCACCUCUGCUCCUAGAAGUCUUCCAUCAGAUUCUCACCUUGCCAGUUCUAUCCACACUUUGGGGGUUCAUUGCAGCCUUCCCUGAUAGUGUUUGACUCCCUGUGAGACAGUGUUUUAGGGCUUCUAUUGCUGUGAUGAAACACCAUGAACCAAGAUACUUGGGGAGGAAAGGGUUUAUUUAGUUUAUACUUCCAUAUCAUUGUUCAUCUCUGAAGGAAGUCAGAACAGGAACACAAACAGGGCAGGAACCCAGAGGCAGGAGUGUAGCAGUAUCCAGCUGGCCUGGUACUGCAGUAAGAGCAACUAGCCCUAACCACACACUUAACCUAGCUCCAGAGAGCUAGCACCUAGCAUAAUCCAUUCUUUGACCUACUGGAUACCUUUUGUCGCCUUGUGUGAACCUUGUUUGGGAGUUUCCCAAGGAUACGAAGUCUAUACAAAACUUGGUUCAGGAAACCUGGAAAAUUGUGGUACCUGAUGAAUCCAGUCUUUGCACAUGGCACUGUCUUUUUGGAAGCCUCAUUCAAGUUGUUCUGAGCAUAAAGUAAUCAUUUGCAAAAGUAUAAAUAUUGAGAAAUAUAAAAAUGCCUUGGGCAUAGGGAAUGUACUUUAGUUACUCAAAAAUGAGGUCCCCUGUAGCCACAACAGCUAAAUUCAUUCUUAAA